Molecule: ribosomal RNA, 222 nt
Filed under: Gallus gallus (chicken)
Lineage: Eukaryota; Metazoa; Chordata; Aves; Galliformes; Phasianidae
Description: partial small subunit ribosomal RNA
Source: RNAcentral
CCCAAACUGGGAUUAGAUACCCCACUAUGCCUAGCCCUAAAUCUAGAUACCUCCCAUCACACAUGUAUCCGCCUGAGAACUACGAGCACAAACGCUUAAAACUCUAAGGACUUGGCGGUGCCCCAAACCCACCUAGAGGAGCCUGUUCUAUAAUCGAUAAUCCACGAUUCACCCAACCACCCCUUGCCAGCACAGCCUACAUACCGCCAUCUUCAGCAAAAA